GUGCCCUUUUAAGGUUGACGGGGUGCCGGAAGAAGCUAAGACAGAAGGGUAAAAUAAGUCUCCAUAAAACCCAGGGAGGAGAUUGUAAAACUCCUCUUUGGAUCCUGUCUGGAGUCACAGCU
This 122-nucleotide small nucleolar RNA is filed under the name Zalophus californianus (California sea lion). RNAcentral describes it as "Small nucleolar RNA SNORA26 (ENSZCAG00015008463.1)". It matches the Rfam family "Small nucleolar RNA SNORA26". From Rfam's summary of the family: The snoRNA HBI-6 belong to the H/ACA family of snoRNAs, guiding the pseudouridylation of position U4522 if the 28S rRNA. HBI-6 is the human orthologue of mouse MBI-6 snoRNA. The record is from RNAcentral. Lineage: Eukaryota; Metazoa; Chordata; Mammalia; Carnivora; Otariidae.